CUAACAUGCAAGUCGAACGAUGAUCCCAGCUUGCUGGGGGAUUAGUGGCGAACGGGUGAGUAACACGUGAGUAACCUGCCCUUGACUCUGGGAUAAGCCUGGGAAACUGGGUCUAAUACCGGAUAUGACUCCUCAUCGCAUGGUGGGGGGUGGAAAGCUUUUGUGGUUUUGGAUGGACUCGCGGCCUAUCAGCUUGUUGGUGGGGUAAUGGCCUACCAAGGCGACGACGGGUAGCCGGCCUGAGAGGGUGACCGGCCACACUGGGACUGAGACACGGCCCAGACUCCUACGGGAGGCAGCAGUGGGGAAUAUUGCACAAUGGGCGCAAGCCUGAUGCAGCGACGCCGCGUGAGGGAUGACGGCCUUCGGGUUGUAAACCUCUUUCAGUAGGGAAGAAGCGAAAGUGACGGUACCUGCAGAAGAAGCGCCGGCUAACUACGUGCCAGCAGCCGCGGUAAUACGUAGGGCGCAAGCGUUAUCCGGAAUUAUUGGGCGUAAAGAGCUCGUAGGCGGUUUGUCGCGUCUGCUGUGAAAGACCGGGGCUCAACUCCGGUUCUGCAGUGGGUACGGGCAGACUAGAGUGCAGUAGGGGAGACUGGAAUUCCUGGUGUAGCGGUGAAAUGCGCAGAUAUCAGGAGGAACACCGAUGGCGAAGGCAGGUCUCUGGGCUGUAACUGACGCUGAGGAGCGAAAGCAUGGGGAGCGAACAGGAUUAGAUACCCUGGUAGUCCAUGCCGUAAACGUUGGGCACUAGGUGUGGGGGACAUUCCACGUUUUCCGCGCCGUAGCUAACGCAUUAAGUGCCCCGCCUGGGGAGUACGGCCGCAAGGCUAAAACUCAAA
This 842-nucleotide ribosomal RNA is filed under the name Arthrobacter sp. ECP18. RNAcentral's name for it is "bacterial SSU rRNA". It matches the Rfam family "Bacterial small subunit ribosomal RNA", at positions 50 to 905 of the family's 1533-position model. The record is from RNAcentral. Lineage: Bacteria; Bacillati; Actinomycetota; Actinomycetes; Micrococcales; Micrococcaceae.